UACAGAGGGUGCAAGCGUUGAUCGGAAUCACUGGGCGUAAAGCGCGCGUAGGUGGUUUGUUAAGUUGGAUGUGAAAGCCCCGGGCUCAACCGGGGAACUGCAUCGAAAACUGGCAAGCUAGAGUACGGUAGAGGGUGGCGGAAUUUCCUGUGUAGCGGUGAAAUGCGUAGAUAUAGGAAGGAACACCAGUGGCGAAGGCGGCCACCUGGACUGAUACUGACACUGAGGCGCGAAAGCGAGGGGAGCAAACAGG
RNAcentral lists this unclassified non-coding RNA (253 nucleotides) under uncultured Pseudomonadaceae bacterium. RNAcentral describes it as "contains 16S-23S intergenic spacer region". It matches the Rfam family "Bacterial small subunit ribosomal RNA", at positions 524 to 776 of the family's 1533-position model. The record is from RNAcentral. Lineage: Bacteria; Pseudomonadati; Pseudomonadota; Gammaproteobacteria; Pseudomonadales; Pseudomonadaceae.